Molecule: ribosomal RNA, 492 nt
Filed under: uncultured bacterium
Lineage: Bacteria
Description: partial 16S ribosomal RNA
Rfam family: Bacterial small subunit ribosomal RNA
Source: RNAcentral
AGUGAACGCUGGCGGUAGGCCUAACACAUGCAAGUCGAACGGCAGCACAGUAAGAGCUUGCUCUUACGGGUGGCGAGUGGCGGACGGGUGAGGAAUACAUCGGAAUCUACUUUUUCGUGGGGGAUAACGUAGGGAAACUUACGCUAAUACCGCAUACGACCUACGGGUGAAAGCAGGGGAUCUUCGGACCUUGCGCGAUUGAAUGAGCCGAUGUCGGAUUAGCUAGUUGGCGGGGUAAAGGCCCACCAAGGCGACGAUCCGUAGCUGGUCUGAGAGGAUGAUCAGCCACACUGGAACUGAGACACGGUCCAGACUCCUACGGGAGGCAGCAGUGGGGAAUAUUGGACAAUGGGCGCAAGCCUGAUCCAGCCAUACUGCGUGGGUGAAGAAGGCCUUCGGGUUGUAAAGCCCUUUUGUUGGGAAAGAAAAGCAGCAGGUUAAUACCCCGCUGUUCUGACGGUACCCAAAGAAUAAGCACCAGCUAACUUCGUG